This 422-nucleotide long non-coding RNA is filed under the name Equus caballus (horse). RNAcentral describes it as "lncRNA (ENSECAG00000040189.3)". Lineage: Eukaryota; Metazoa; Chordata; Mammalia; Perissodactyla; Equidae. The record is from RNAcentral.
CUUAAACUUCAGAAUGCUCAGAGCUCUGUCAUCAAGUGAAUGGCAGCUAAGAAAUUAGACCAGCCUUACCUUUCAACUCUUUCAAGGCAGUUAUCCAAUGCAAACUUUGAAAAUGCCUUUGCUGGUUAAUCACAGAUGGACGAACCACUCCAAAAGAAACAAGAUAGCAGAUUGGUGAUCCAGUGGUGACCAGGUCUACAUGGUUUGUGAUGAGCCAGAACACCCAGGUCCUAGAACUACACAUCCCAUUACCUACAUUGCAGGAAGGGGCAAACGGAAGAGGCAUGAGGAACUUUCCACAGGCUUCCCACGUAUUCCUUAGACCCCUGUGAGGGGGGCAGGAUGGAAGUCCCAAUGUGAACAGAUGUAGCAGCCCAGUUGUGAUUUCUUUAAGGUAUGGACACACUCUUUGCUUGGGAAGU